GAUGAACGCUGGCGGCGUGCCUAAUACAUGCAAGUCGAGCGAAUGGAUUAAGAGCUUGCUCUUAUGAAGUUAGCGGCGGACGGGUGAGUAACACGUGGGUAACCUGCCCAUAAGACUGGGAUAACUCCGGGAAACCGGGGCUAAUACCGGAUAACAUUUUGAACCGCAUGGUUCGAAAUUGAAAGGCGGCUUCGGCUGUCACUUAUGGAUGGACCCGCGUCGCAUUAGCUAGUUGGUGAGGUAACGGCUCACCAAGGCAACGAUGCGUAGCCGACCUGAGAGGGUGAUCGGCCACACUGGGACUGAGACACGGCCCAGACUCCUACGGGAGGCAGCAGUAGGGAAUCUUCCGCAAUGGACGAAAGUCUGACGGAGCAACGCCGCGUGAGUGAUGAAGGCUUUCGGGUCGUAAAACUCUGUUGUUAGGGAAGAACAAGUGCUAGUUGAAUAAGCUGGCACCUUGACGGUACCUAACCAGAAAGCCACGGCUAACUACGUGCCAGCAGCCGCCGUAA
RNAcentral lists this ribosomal RNA (515 nucleotides) under uncultured bacterium. Its description in RNAcentral is "partial 16S ribosomal RNA". It matches the Rfam family "Bacterial small subunit ribosomal RNA", at positions 28 to 523 of the family's 1533-position model. The record is from RNAcentral.